GGCUCAGAUUGAACGCUGGCGGCAUGCCUUACACAUGCAAGUCGAACGGCAGCACGGGAGCAAUCCUGGUGGCGAGUGGCGAACGGGUGAGUAAUAUAUCGGAACGUGCCCAGUCGUGGGGGAUAACGUAGCGAAAGCUACGCUAAUACCGCAUACGAUCUAUGGAUGAAAGCGGGGGAUCGCAAGACCUCGCGCGAUUGGAGCGGCCGAUAUCAGAUUAGGUAGUUGGUGAGGUAAAGGCUCACCAAGCCGACGAUCUGUAGCUGGUCUGAGAGGACGACCAGCCACACUGGGACUGAGACACGGCCCAGACUCCUACGGGAGGCAGCAGUGGGGAAUUUUGGACAAUGGGCGAAAGCCUGAUCCAGCAAUGCCGCGUGCAGGACGAAGGCCUUCGGGUUGUAAAUUGCUUUUGUACGGAACGAAACGGUCUCUUUUAAUACAGGGGGCUAAUGACGGUACCGUAAGAAUAAGCACCGGCUAACUACGUG
RNAcentral lists this ribosomal RNA (491 nucleotides) under uncultured bacterium. Its description in RNAcentral is "bacterial SSU rRNA". It matches the Rfam family "Bacterial small subunit ribosomal RNA", at positions 21 to 507 of the family's 1533-position model. The record is from RNAcentral.